Molecule: transfer RNA, 67 nt
Filed under: marine eukaryotic metagenome
Rfam family: tRNA
About the family: Transfer RNA (tRNA) molecules are approximately 80 nucleotides in length. Their secondary structure includes four short double-helical elements and three loops (D, anti-codon, and T loops).
Source: RNAcentral
GGAAGUAGCUCAACGGUAGAGCGCCGGACUGUCUAUCCGGAGGCUGCGGGUUCAAAUCCCGUCUUUC